GGUCCCCGGUAAGGGAUGCGGCAGCCUGGGCUUGGGCAGGGAGAGAAGAGAGACAGAGAGAGGAAGGAAGGGGGGAGGGCGGGCGGCCAUUGUGCGGGGGAGCUGCCGCCUCGCUUCCUUCCCCUCCCCCUCCCCGCUCGCUUUCCGAACGCAGCCCCCUGUGCUGAGCCCCAUUUGCUCGGCAGCCUGGCGGCGGGGCGUGUCGGCGCGGCAGCAUCCCCUGCCCCCUCCCGGCCCUCCUCCUCCUCCUUCCCCCACCGCUCGCUUUCCUCUUCCUCCUUUCGUGCACUCACCGCUGAAACUUGUCUUCCCCCCCUUGCCCCCGUUAUCGGCGGGGAGAUCUCUCCCACCCGCUCUCGGCUGGCGGCCCCGCCGCACGCACGACCCCCGCUGCCGGCUCGGGGGGUGAGGGCUGCGGUACCGCUCUUCACUGAUGGAAUCACCAAUAAACUAAUUGGCUGCUACGUGGGUGAUAUAACAGACGAUGUGGUUCUAGUUAGAAUCUAUGGCAAUAAGACCGAGCUCUUAGUAGAUCGGGAUGAGGAAGUGAAGAGUUUCCGCGUGUUACAGGCUCACGGCUGUGCACCUCAACUGUACUGUACUUUUAAUAAUGGCCUGUGCUACGAGUUCAUGCAGGGAGAAGCACUGGAUCCAGAGCAUGUAUGCAAUCCAGAUAUUUUCAGACUCAUUGCCAGACAGCUGGCUAAAAUCCAUACUAUUCAUGCACACAAUGGAUGGAUCCCUAAAUCUAAUCUGUGGCUGAAGAUGGGGAAAUACUUCUCUCUCAUACCCACAGAAUUUAUGGAUGAAGAAGUAAAUAAAAGGUUUUUAAGUGACAUUCCAAGUUCUCAAGUUCUUCAGGAAGAGAUGGCCUGGAUGAAGGAAAGGCUGUCAAAUUUAGGAUCCCCAGUGGUACUCUGUCACAAUGACCUGUUGUGUAAGAAUAUUAUUUACAACAAGAAACGAGGAGUCUGUGGGUGCUCAGUGCUUCUGAAGACUGAGGUGAUGUGCAGUUCAUAGACUAUGAGUACUCUGGAUACAACUACCUGGCUUAUGACAUUGGAAAUCACUUCAAUGAAUUUGCAGGAGUAAAUGAGGUAGACUACAGCCUCUAUCCUAACAGAAAAUUACAGGAACAGUGGCUGAGAUCUUACCUUGAGGCCUACAAAGAAUAUAAAGGAUUUGGCACAGAAGUCAGUGAAAAAGAAGUGGAAGUUCUAUAUGUCCAAGUCAAUCAGUUUGCACUGGCUUCCCACUUCUUUUGGGGAUUGUGGGCUCUAAUUCAAGCCAAAUAUUCCACCAUUGACUUCGAUUUUCUAGGGUAUGCAAUUGUCCGGUUUAACCAGUAUUUCAAAAUGAAGCAGGAGGUCAUGACGUUAACUCUUCCUGAGUAAUGAAGAGGAAGAAACUUCCAAAGUGGAUAGACAACCCCUGAAUCUUCUCUGAGAACAGAUACUGGAAAAAAGAUAAACAUUUGUUGAAGUUCUGUAAUGCUCACUUGGUGGUUCUUGCUUUAUAAAUAAUGCCUCUGAACAGUCCUUCAAUGUUAAAUUUUAAUAUGAAGAGCAUACAUACUGCUGUUGAUAUAAAACAGAUUAGAAACUUGCUAAAUCUAUAAAAAAGUUGUAGAAAUUGCAAUUUAAUCCUUCUUUGUAAUUUAACAUAUGUUGUAUGUGAAUUAUUUAUUAUAAGUUUAACAUGAUUCCAUUGCUGCUUUCAUCAGUUUGUGUAAAAGUUGGGGUGCAGACAGUGAAGUUGUUCCAAAGGAUUCACUUAGCAAGUUAUUUUAUUGAAGUUGCAUUAACUUAUAUUAAAUAAAACAUGCUCAGAAUAUUUUAGGUGUAUACAAUCAAAAUAUGAGUGAUAAGAGACUUGUGAGGUCACCAGUGUGCUGUAACUAGGGAAAAAGGUUAGGAUCUUUAUUUUUCCCUCUUUUUUUAAAAAACAAAAAAAGAGAAAAAGAAAAAGGUAGCUUUCCCUGCAAUGGUACUUUUCUUUUGUAUAAGAAUCAACCAGCUUUUUGAAAGGUAGAUAACAUUUUGAUUUUUCCUUCUUGAUGUAUUAAUCUGUAGAAAUGUGGAGGUUCUGUAGACACCAGAUUCCUUGAGGAUAUGUACCAUCGUAGUGUUAGAUGGACAAUGUACCAUCUCCGACAUCUGUGGGAAAGCUACUUCUUUAAGUGUACCUUUAAAGACCACUAUUCCAAAUAUGUAUUCAUUUUGAAACUUUAUUCUAAAUUUGAACACUAUUCUGGUCUCUGUAUUUGAUGUGCUUCAGCAAUAUCUAGUGAAAUGGACUAUUGACCUGAAGAUUAGUGAACAGAGAUCCUGUUGCACUGGGGAGCAAGACACUUAGGUUUACAGUUUGUGUAUCGUUGACAUCUUUCUGCUUUGCCAUCUUCUGAUGUUGGAGUCUAGUCUUAAAUGCUUGGUCCUGUAGUUGCAGGUUCUGAUACGUCUUUUUUUUUUUCUGUGGCAGCAAAUUACUUAUCAAAGGCUCUAGUUUGAAGGAUAAUAUGGACAAAUAUAUAACUUGAACAAUGGGGCUUUGAUCAUCACACACACUUUCUUAUUUCUUAAAGCUAUUAUACUAAGAAUGGUCUGAAUUACAAAAUGUGAAUUGAAAAGAAAAUGUUUACUUAACAAAACAAUGUAUAAGUCUGAGUGGAAAAGAGGCUUUAAAUAUCAACGAGGGUGAGGGGGGCAAGAGGGGAAGAAACCCACAACAGAAAAAUAAAACCCAACAAUGCAGUGUGGAGUUGGGCAGGCAUGUACUCAGCUCUGAUCAUACUCUGAAAAACUUUGCACUUCGGUCACAUAAGUGCCCACGUGUACAAAGUCUGUGUGUGUGCAUAUACACAUGCAAACACAAACUUACCUGAAGAGUAAAUAUUAUGGGGAGUCUGUUGUACAGACUCCAGCAAAAAUAUUUAUUCAAAAUUGCUUUAUGGCACACUGUGUGUGUAUGUGUGUGUAUGUGUAUAUACACACACAUAUAUGCAUACAUGCUGUACAAAAGCUUGGAUUGAUUCAGGACAAAGACAACUGAUGUGAAUGAAAAAUUUUCACCUUGUGAGACCAUUUUGAAUGGCAUUCUGUUAUUUUACAAAAGCAAGGUUUGUGAAUUUUUUUUUUUCCUCUUGUUUAUUAAUCUCUGAAUGUUUCAUUUUUUUUUUUUUAAUUUCCUUCAGUCAAAUGCUUAAUCCUAAUUCAAAUGGGAGAACUGGCAUUUUUUGUAACUUGAAAUUAGGUAACCAUUUUUGUUAGCAUUUGUUAGCUGGAGGCUACUAUACUGGACAAAUUUCUUGGUAGUUAAAUAGAAACAAUAGCUAAAAUAAACAUUUAUAUUUUCCUUUGUAGCAGUUAUCAAGGAUGUUGCUAGAGCUCAAAGCACUGAGGACUUUCCGUACUUUCUCCCUGUUGACAUUCUUGAUGUAUGUUGCAUAAUACCCUUCUGUCUUGGUAGUCCCUUUAAGUUCAGCAAGAUCUGCUUGGAAGUAAGAUCGCUGAAGAUUUUUGAACUCGUAUUACUGUUUUGUUGAAGUGGUGGCUUUAUUUCUGGCAGUGUUGCUUUGUAUUUGUGAAAUAUUUGAAAAAGACUGUGAAGUUCACUUUGUCUUGGAAAAUCCAGCACUUGACGGAUCCUAGUUUUCCCAACAGUCGGCAAAACACAUUCCCUUUUCAGGUACCAGUACUAUUUAAGUUUGGAUUCAGUGUAAUUUUUUUUCAGUAGUAUUUUUGUUUGUAUAGCUCAAGUAGCAAUAACUGGAGGAGUGGAAGCUUGCUUCUGCAGAACCAAAGCUCUUCAUGAGUGCAGCUCAAUCUCAUUCUUGUGGAGUGAAGCUCCACCAAAUCCUGUAAAAGCACUUUGAAGCAGAUAGUAAAUACUGGAGGCUUUUCCUGAGCCACUUUGAAGAAGCACAAGGACUAUAACAGGUUACAGCGGUUGACUUUGUAGUACUGGUAGAGGCUUUAAUUUUGCAUGUUGAAAUUCAUUUUACACACUUAAAUGCUGCUUUGAGUCAGCUUUCUUUCAAGACAAGUGCAGAUUAAAAUAAUUCCUGAUAAGUUCUGAGGAAAUACUGUAAAACUUUUUCCAAAAUGGAACGCCAGUUACCUUGAGCCUUGUUCCACAUCCUUUUGAGCCAGUGGCACUCGGACAUUCUCACUUGCUAAGGAGUAUCUACAGGUGCAUUAAGUUGGAAGCACUAGUUUGCAAUAGCAGUGUAGAUUAUAAGGUAGCUUGAAACUGUGAAUACAGGACAUUCUGAAUGUAAAGUUAGGUACUAGGGCGCUGAGCUAGAGAACAUGUACUUGUUUCAUUUAAUUUAUCUCAGUCUUUUUAGUAGCAUUGUUAAGAUAUUUGAAGGAGGACAAAAAGAAAUUACUGAGCUCUAGAAACAUCCUGUAGUAGUUUUGACUGUGACUUGCCAAGAAGACAUUCUGUUGCCUUUAUGUUAAGCUAAGGGCAUGAAUGCCAAAAUUAAUAAUUCUUACUGUAGUUAAACCUAUAUUGUAAAUAUAAAGAGGAUUAUUAGUAGCGGCAUUCUUGCAUAAGUAGCAUCAAGUCAAUAGACCAUAGUGGCCUGGUUGCUUUUGUAAAGCAGAAUAGUGUGAAUUUUUUUCUUCUCAUUUCUGCAGUCGGAUCUGGCUAAUCCAUGCCUAAUUUCUUAGGUCACCUAAACAUUAAAGAUCUCUCAACAAUAAGUAGUCUCUGCUCGCAUAAUUUUAAAUUCCUCCAUUUACACAUCUUGAUUUGAAUUUUAAAAAGACUUGCCCAAUUUGCAUUAACCAGGUCUGACUGUAUAUGUAUAUACAACAGUGUAAAUAACCAUUUGUAAAUUAGUGUGAAUUGUACUGUAUCUUGCAUUUAUGGACUUGUGUAUUGCAUUGUAUUCUCUCCUAUUUUGUAGAAACUUUGAUGUAAAGAAAUCUGACUGUGUGUGGACUUCUUUUGUUAACUUGACCUGUAACAGAGCAUAAUAGUUUUAUGUUAAGGUCUCCAUUUAUAGCCUUGGGCAUCCAGUGUCUUUUUUUCCCCUUAUCUCGCUCUUGGGAAUGAUUCUGGGAACAAAGGAAUUUAUACAGUACUAAGAUGAAGAGAGAGUAUGUCCUAACAGUAGGGCAAAACUGUGUGUUAGAAGUCCAUGCAGUACCUAUCGUGUAGGGAAGGCUGUUAAAAUAGUUUACUUAAACUUCCAAAAAUUUCCUACACGUUCUUGAAUGCUGGUGACUUUUAAACAUAAGCAUGCUGAAGUAUUCCCGAAGUGUGUGCUCCUGUGGUGACAGCAAUUUAAUUUGUUGUAGAAGUCACCCAACUUAAAUGGUUUUGGUGGAUAUAGCCUUAUACUAGGGUUAGUUGCUCACUUGUAAAUGCUUACAAUCAAUGCCCAAGUCACCACAAUAGUUCUGCCAGUCAUGCUUCUCCACACUAGAACUACUGGCAGCCCCUUUAGACUAUUGGAAACUUACCUGAAGUAUUUUCCCUGGUUGCCAUUCCCUCCCACUCCUCCCUGUGCCUACAACCCCACUUCAUUAGGAGAAACAAGGAUGUAAAAAGCUUCCUUUCUAUACUUAAUCACCAUUAUUUCCUCUCUAAAAUAGUGUUUUAUCUGGUCAGUGUGCGACUUCUCAUCAGAAUUUUUUUGUGUAGGAAGUCCCUUUCUGAGGAGUCCUUUCAUCUUGGAAGCAUAGACAUGGUGAAGCGUAGUUUUCCCUAAAUACCCGACUGUAUUUCGUUACUGUUGCCUUUCACUGUUUUGAACUCAAUAGUGUCCUUCAAGCUGUUAGUUUAUUCUUGUUACUACUGUGUUUAAUAACACUGCUGGAAGAUACUGGUAUGCAAAGCUCAUUGUCCAUCUGACAAAUUGAUCUUGGUACGCUUGGUAUGUCCUGUCAGCUUUACCUGCACUGGAGGGUGCACCUGCUUUUUAUCAGUGUUGGCACUUCAAGUUACUAGGGUCCUGGGAAGUGAGCUUAUCAAAGAAGUACUAGUCAAGAGGAGGGAUGGGCUCAGUAAAUACAAGUAAACGGAAGUCAUUCACAUGGAAACUCAGGCUUAAGCUUUUGAUGUAGCAGGGUGCCGAAUAUGCUUGUUUACUUGUGUGGUUUAAGGACAAGAGCAAAUUGUAAAGGGAAAAGUUUGUUUCAAAAUCAAGAUUUCUUUUAAAGCCUUUGGUAGCUGACAAAACCUUACAAAAUGUUCUUACCAAAAGAAAUCAAACCAAAUGUUAGUAACUUGCUGAUUAAACAAAGCUUUAUUCUAUAACCCAAUCUCUUGCUUGGGGUAGUCCUUCCUCUAGUUUGCAGGGGAGGUUGAUCACAGCUGAGUUUGCAGUGGCUGUCUAUUCUUGAUUUGUUGUAAUGUUUUUGUAUAGUUCACUGUGUUCUUGGAUGCCUUCUAAGGUGUGCUAGGUUAUUAAACUACUGGAAUUAGCUACUGUCUCAUACCAUUUCUUCCAUGCCAGGCAGGUUGUAAUUACAGUAAUAGAACAGAAAGCAUCUGAUCAAACCUUCAGGUAAUGCAAGGCAGAUGUUGAGCAGUCUUACAGCUGAUUUUUUGUCCCCCUUUUUAUUGCUGUGGGCUGCAAGCUGUUUCCAUUGCUUGUGAAAGACAUGAAAAGCCAUGACCUUUGGUCUUGUGCGAGGCAGGUGUUCUGAUAGCCAACCACACAAUGUUUAAGAAAAGGGGCUCUCAGCAGUGAGAAACCACACAAAUUCAGGUGGAACAUCUUGGAAGGAACCAGCCUUUGUGGUUUAUAGACCUCUGGAGUGGAAAGGAAAACGUGUGAAACAUUUGUAUGUGCCAGUUAUGAGGAGGCGCUCCAUCUAAGUGAUGUGGUGAGACUUUUUUUAAAGUGAUUUUUCCAGUUGGUCUGAUCUGUAGAAAUUAAAUUCCUGUGAUUAGGAAACCAGUCAGCUUGGGGGAAGAGGGAAGAAACAUUCCGAAAUAUUACUAGAAGAUGUAGGCUGUUGCUUAAUUUGCAACACUUAGAUGAGAGUUGGGCAUUUCUGUGUAUCUAUUACUGUAGGCAGUGUUCUGCACUGGAUUAUUUAGUUAAGGGGUUUUAUUAUUACUAUGAAAUAUCAGAAAACUGACUGGAAUGGGCCUGAAGCCCAUUAUGAUCUUAGAACAGGUGGCCAGACUUCACCAGAUCACCGAACUUCUGGUUCAAGGUUUUAUGUUAGCUGAUCCCGUAGCCUUCUAAACCUUUUGAGCUGCUGUCUUGGGUUGCCUAUGGUGUGGAACUCUCAUGGACUUCUGAAUAAGUUUGAUAUUCUGCUUAUAGACAGAUGACAUAAAGAAAACCUGGUGGAAAUCAAAAGCUGUGUGAACAUUGAGAAAGCAAAUGUUACUUGAAAUCUAACAAACUUUGAAAAUAGAUGCUGAAAUAACUUCAGGUACUGCAUCAGCCUAUUUUUGUGGUAUUGCGACUGUUUUUUCUAUGUUAAGUGUUUUUAUUUUUCUCCACAUAGAGAUCCAUUUAAAACACAAGAUGAAAGAGACCACGGAAGAGAAACAUGAAAAAUGUAUACAGUGCCGUAAAAUGCAGCAUAAACUGGAAAAAAAGUGUAUGUUUCUAAGCUUUUGGUGGUAGUAAUUAUUAAGUGUUAUAAAAAAAAAGUAGGUGUCAAGUUUUCAGUGUAUGAGAGAACUUUUUUUUUCUAGAAAUGUUCCUUUUAACAUUUUGUAUCUCAGUUGCAGUCUGUGGUAGUUAAUAAUGCUGCUUUGUACACAAGUGCUUUGAAUAGUCUCAGCACUGAGAAUGUAUCCAAUCUUUCUUAAAAAAGACUUAAAGUUAGAUUCAUUGGUUCUGUCUCAAGCCUCUUAAUCCAGCUAUCUAAAAACACUUUAAAUACUUGCAGAAACAGGGCUGUAGUUUAUUAGGGAUUUAUUCCAUUUUGUGUCUUUUUUUUUUUUACUGCCUAUUUUCUAAUGUUCUUUUAAACAUGAGUCCAUUUGUCCUGUGAAUAAAAUAAGCUCAACUUAUAAAUAAGCCUUUGUCAUCUUCCAGCACUGUCAUCGUCCCAAAAGUCCCCAUGACUCAUCUUGUAUGUUGUGGAGUUUAGAUGCAUCAUUUAUCCAUUGGAGUGAAUUGUGUUUCUUUUGAACUAAAUGUUAUUGAAGCUGUUAUAAGGCCUUCUACCACUGAUUAAAUGAAGUAAUGUACCUUUCCAAGAGAUUUAUAUUGUGUAAAUAAUUUCAAACUGCAACAAUAAAGUUUGUUUCCAACUGCA
RNA transcript from Columba livia (rock pigeon), 8237 nucleotides. It is a transcript of the gene named ethanolamine kinase 1, with no coding region annotated. The transcript has 9 exons. The record is from RefSeq and is a predicted model, not a curated record. NCBI's taxonomy places the organism in Eukaryota, Metazoa, Chordata, Aves, Columbiformes, Columbidae.